Hippocampus comes (tiger tail seahorse) is the source of this 231-nucleotide long non-coding RNA. RefSeq lists it as uncharacterized. The record is from RefSeq and is a predicted model, not a curated record. NCBI's taxonomy places the organism in Eukaryota, Metazoa, Chordata, Actinopteri, Syngnathiformes, Syngnathidae. The transcript is spliced from 3 exons.
CCAACUUUACACAAUAGAUAUACCAAGAACUUAGCGGAGGCACAGAGGGGACUGAGCCUUUUCCGUUGCUGGUCCCUCUCUUUGGAAUGACGUCCCACUGAACAUUCGGCAAGCCCCCUCGCUGCCCAUCUUUAAAACUCAUCUCAAAACUCAUUUGUACCCUUUGACAUUUGACUCGGCAUAUCUCAGACUUGAUCUUAGAUUUACUGUUUGGUGCUUUCUACUGUCUUU